RNAcentral lists this ribosomal RNA (516 nucleotides) under uncultured soil bacterium. Its description in RNAcentral is "bacterial SSU rRNA". It matches the Rfam family "Bacterial small subunit ribosomal RNA", at positions 8 to 526 of the family's 1533-position model. The record is from RNAcentral.
AGAGUUUGAUCCUGGCUCAGGACGAACGCUGGCGGCAUGCCUAACACAUGCAAGUCGAGCGGAGGUAUUUAAGUAGCUUGCUACGAGAAUACCUUAGCGGCGGACGGGUGAGUAACGCGUGAGCAAUUUGCCUUGUACAGGGGGAUAACAGAUGGAAACAUCUGCUAAUACCGCAUAAGACCACACUGGGGAAUGCCAGAGAGGUCAAAGGAGUUAAAUCCGGUACAAGAUGAGCUCGCGUCCCAUUAGCUAGUUGGUAGGGUAACAGCCUACCAAGGCGACGAUGGGUAGCCGACCUGAGAGGGUGAUCGGCCACACUGGGACUGAGACACGGCCCAGACUCCUACGGGAGGCAGCAGUGGGGAAUAUUGCGCAAUGGGGGAAACCCUGACGCAGCAAUGCCGCGUGAGUGAAGAAGGCCUUCGGGUCGUAAAACUCUGUCUUUGGGGAAGAAAAAAAUGACGGUACCCAAGGAGGAAGCCCCGGCUAACUACGUGCCAGCAGCCGCGGUAAUAC